CGACGGUAAUGCGUCGUGCUCUUCGGAGACGGAUACACAGGUGCUGCAUGGCUGUCGUCAGCUCGUGUCGUGAGAUGUUGGGUUCAGUCCCGCAACGAGCGCAACCCCUGUCGUUAGUUGGAUUUUUCUAGCGAGACUGCCGGUUAAACGGAGGAAGGAGGGGACGACGUCAAGUCAGCACGGCCCUUACGUUCUGGGCGACACACGUGCUACAAUGGUCAGGACAAUGGGAUGCGAACCCGCGAGGGGGAGCGAAUCUGAGCAAACCUGGCCUCAGUUCAGAUUGGAGGCUGCAACCCGCCUCCAUGAAGCUGGAAUCGCUAGUAACCGCAAGUCAGCACAUUGCGGUGAAUACGUUCCCGGGUCUUGUACACACCGCCCGUCACACCAUGGGAGUUGAUUUCACCCGAAGCGGGGAAGCUAA
Molecule: ribosomal RNA, 424 nt
Filed under: uncultured Bradyrhizobiaceae bacterium
Lineage: Bacteria; Pseudomonadati; Pseudomonadota; Alphaproteobacteria; Hyphomicrobiales; Nitrobacteraceae
Description: bacterial SSU rRNA
Rfam family: Bacterial small subunit ribosomal RNA
Source: RNAcentral